AACGAACGCUGGCGGCAUGCCUAACACAUGCAAGUCGAACGAGACCUUCGGGUCUAGUGGCGCUCGGGUGCGUAACGCGUGGGAACCUGCCCUUAGGUUCGGAAUAACUCCCCGAAAGGGGUGCUAAUACCGGAUAAUGUCUUCGGACCAAAGAUUUAUCGCCUUUGGAUGGGCCCGCGUUGGAUUAGCUAGUUGGUAGGGUAAAAGCCUACCAAGGCGACGAUCCAUAGCUGGUCUGAGAGGAUGAUCAGCCACACUGGGACUGAGACACGGCCCAGACUCCUACGGGAGGCAGCAGUAGGGAAUAUUGGACAAGGGGCGAAAGCCUGAUCCAGCAAUGCCGCGUGAGUGAUGAAGGCCUUAGGGUUGUAAAGCUCUUUUACCCGGGAUGAUAAUGACAGUACCGGGAGAAUAAGCACCGGCUAACUCCGUG
Molecule: ribosomal RNA, 433 nt
Filed under: uncultured bacterium
Lineage: Bacteria
Description: partial 16S ribosomal RNA
Rfam family: Bacterial small subunit ribosomal RNA
Source: RNAcentral